RNAcentral lists this ribosomal RNA (450 nucleotides) under uncultured Leptolinea sp. RNAcentral's name for it is "bacterial SSU rRNA". It matches the Rfam family "Bacterial small subunit ribosomal RNA", at positions 918 to 1382 of the family's 1533-position model. Lineage: Bacteria; Bacillati; Chloroflexota; Anaerolineae; Anaerolineales; Anaerolineaceae. The record is from RNAcentral.
GGCCCGCACAAGCAGCGGAGCGUGUGGUUUAAUUCGAUGUUACACGAAGAACCUUACCAGGGUUUGACAUGCAAGUGGUAGGAAGCCGAAAGGUGACCGACCCUUCGGGGAGCUUGCACAGGUGCUGCAUGGCUGUCGUCAGCUCGUGUCGUGAGAUGUUCGGUUAAGUCUGCUAACGAGCGCAACCCUCGCUGUGUGUUAUAUGUGUCACACGGGACUGCCGGUCUUAAGCCGGAGGAAGGUGGGAUGAUGUCAAGUCAGCAUGGCCUUUAUGACCUGGGCUACACACGUGCUACAAUGGUUGGUACAACGAGUUGCGAGUCGGUGACGGCGAGCUAAUCUCUUAAAGCCAAUCUCAGUUCGGAUUGUAGGCUGCAACUCGCCUACAUGAAGUCGGAAUCGCUAGUAAUCGCGGAUCAGCACGCCGCGGUGAAUACGUUCCCGGGCCUU